AGAAAAGAUAAAAAGAGAGUCUAAUUAUAUGACUAUAAACGAAACAGAACAAAACGAAUAUAAUAUAGAAUUACAUUUUAAUUAUAAAGAUUUAAACCUAUUAAGAAAAAAAGAAGAGACGGUAAAUGCUUUAGUAAACAGACUGGAAUUGAAUUUAAAAAAAAAUGGAGCAAAAGAAGAAUAAAAAAGAGAGAAACAAAAAGGAUAAUAAAGUUUCGGUUGAUAUUAAAAAUGCUACUAUCAGUAGCUCAAAUAAUAGUUCGAAUACAGGCGAAGUACUCAAAAAAAUGUACCUCCCAAGAAAACUCUCCAAAAAAUUCGCAAAAACCCUUACAAGGAAACUUUCAAAAAUCUUUACAAACAAACUCUCAAGCACCUAUACAAUUUUUCGAUAGUGAUAACAAUAUGAUUGAAGGAAAUGAGGUAUUAGGAGAUAUAAUAGAUAAAUUAAGUUAUGUGAUAAUUGAUAAACUUAAAAUAGAUAUAUUAAAAAAAUUAUAUGACAUUAAACGAAUAUAUGUUUCUAUGGAUAUAUUCGUAAAUCAUCCUGUUAUACCUGUCAACAUACCUAUCAAUGAACUUAAUGAUUUUGUUUAUUAUUGGAUUUCUUCUAAUGAUAAAAAUAAAAUAAAAUCAUGUGAUUUAUUUUAUAUACCAGAUAAAAGUGAUAUAUCGCAACCUAUUCAAUUUGUUAUUUAUUAUAAAAAGGCACCUUUUUCUUUUUAUAUAACUGAACAGCUGAAUGUUAACUCAAAUGAAUUUGAAAAAGAGUUGCAAAUAAAAAAUAAAAGGUAUUUAGAAUUUAAUCAGGAUAUUAACAGUGAUAAUAUCAAUAACAGUUACAAAGAUAUACCUAACUGUAACAACACUAUCCGUAUUGUUUCUUAUAAUAUACUCGCACCUGUAUAUACAAACACAAAAUAUGCAAUGGAAUAUAUGUUUAAAAAUGUAAAUAACGAUUAUUUAAAAACAAAUUAUAGGUCUCAUUUAUUAAUAAAUGAUAUAAAUAAUAAUUUCGAUAUAAUAUGUUUACAAGAAGUUAGUGAAUAUUUACAUUCUAAUUUAUUUUCUGUUUUUUUACAUUCGAAUUAUUAUUCUUCUUAUAAAUCAAAAAAUAAUAAUGGAAGUGAUGGAUGUUCAAUAUUUGUAAAUAAAAACAAAUUUACAUUAAUUGAAAACAAAAAUUAUGAAUUUAAUAAUGUUAUAAAACUCCCUGAGUUAAAACAUGUAUAUGAUACAUUUAGUAAAUUAUCAAAUAAUAUUGAAAAUAUAAUUAAUGAAAUAAAAACAAUUUUUCAGAUAGGUAUCUACAAAUAUGAUAAUACUAUCACAAGUGGUAAUGGUAAUACCCACAACAGUAACAACAGUGGCAACAGUGGCAACAGUGG
Molecule: long non-coding RNA, 1388 nt
Filed under: Piliocolobus tephrosceles (Ugandan red Colobus)
Lineage: Eukaryota; Metazoa; Chordata; Mammalia; Primates; Cercopithecidae
Description: lncRNA (ENSPTEG00000017324.1)
Source: RNAcentral